CUUUUUGUUUUUGUUUUCUUUUUUUUCGAGUGUUCUUUACGACAUAGGAACUCCUCAUCCAGCGACAAAAGGACUCCCAAUCCAGUGACGCACGGAUUUGCUUAUUUGUUGCAGCUGAAGGAUCGUUAAGAACAUAGAAGAAAAGUUUAAUUACAAUUAUGUAAAUAUUGUACUCUGAAAUGGAACGAACAUGGGUAACCAUGUUUGUUCCAGUCAGACUUCUUUCCCUUCUUGCAUUCUGAAAUGGAACGAACAUGGGUAACCAUGUUUGUUCCACUCAGACUUUUGACCCUUCUUGUAUUCUGAAAUGGAACGAUCAUGGGUAACCAUGUUUGUUCCAGUCAGACUUCAGAACACAAACAGAUUGUAGUUCAAAUGUUAAUGUAUUAAACAACAUAAAUACAAAAUUCUUCGUUCA
Daphnia magna is the source of this 418-nucleotide long non-coding RNA. RefSeq lists it as uncharacterized. Lineage: Eukaryota; Metazoa; Arthropoda; Branchiopoda; Diplostraca; Daphniidae. The transcript is spliced from 2 exons. The record is from RefSeq and is a predicted model, not a curated record.